AAAAUAUUAUAUCCUUCUCACUUCCCGCCUUCCUCACUUUUCCUCCGCGCCUUCCGUCUUCCGCGUCAUCUCUCUGUGGCCCAAUUUCUUCAUCACUGAUUCACUGUCACGACGAGUUCUUCACGAGGAUUGGGUUGGGGUGCUUGAAUUUGGAAAUGAUGCAGAUGAAGUUAGAAUUAGUUAAAGUCACAUGCUCUAAUUGAUUUAUCAGUUGAGGAAGCAAGAGCUUGUCACAUUUGCACAAUCAGCUGAAGAUGUGUUGCGAGCUGUGGAGGAGUCUGCAAAAAGAGAACUUAAUUGGUAGUUCAAUGCAGUCUUCUCUGGAGGCUGUCACUGACCAACCAUCAAAGCCUCCUCGUGAAAGAGUUAAGAUAGUUAUUUAUGUUCAGGAUAAGGAUGGGCUCAAGCAUUUUCGCAUGUACAUGGUAUAUCUUUGCGCUGGGAUUUUGGACUUAUUUACGGCUGAGAAAAUGGGUCUGCAGAAAAAUGGGUAUUCAGACAAAUGGGUAUUUGGAGCAACUUUUCAUGGUAGUUAAA
This is a long non-coding RNA of Alnus glutinosa, 537 nucleotides long. RefSeq lists it as uncharacterized. NCBI's taxonomy places the organism in Eukaryota, Viridiplantae, Streptophyta, Magnoliopsida, Fagales, Betulaceae. The transcript has 3 exons. The record is from RefSeq and is a predicted model, not a curated record.